GGUGGCUCAGUGGAAGAGUGCUUGCCUUGAAUGCAGGAGACCCUGGGUUCAAUUUCUCAGCC
This 62-nucleotide transfer RNA is filed under the name Dipodomys ordii (Ord's kangaroo rat). It matches the Rfam family "tRNA", at positions 6 to 65 of the family's 71-position model. From Rfam's summary of the family: Transfer RNA (tRNA) molecules are approximately 80 nucleotides in length. Their secondary structure includes four short double-helical elements and three loops (D, anti-codon, and T loops). Lineage: Eukaryota; Metazoa; Chordata; Mammalia; Rodentia; Heteromyidae. The record is from Rfam by way of RNAcentral.